RNAcentral lists this ribosomal RNA (500 nucleotides) under uncultured bacterium. Its description in RNAcentral is "partial 16S ribosomal RNA". It matches the Rfam family "Bacterial small subunit ribosomal RNA", at positions 30 to 523 of the family's 1533-position model. The record is from RNAcentral.
AUUGAACGCUGGCGGCAUGCCUUACACAUGCAAGUCGAACGGCAGCACGGGAGCAAUCCUGGUGGCGAGUGGCGAACGGGUGAGUAAAGUAUCGGAACGUGCCCAGUCGUGGGGGAUAACGUAGCGAAAGUUACGCUAAUACCGCAUACGAUCUAUGGAUGAAAGCGGGGGAUCGCAAGACCUCGCGCGAUUGGAGCGGCCGAUAUCAGAUUAGGUUGUUGGUGGGGUAAAGGCUCACCAAGCCGACGAUCUGUAGCUGGUCUGAGAGGACGACCAGCCACACUGGGACUGAGACACGGCCCAGACUCCUACGGGAGGCAGCAGUGGGGAAUUUUGGACAAUGGGCGAAAGCCUGAUCCAGCCAUGCCGCGUGCAGGAUGAAGGCCUUCGGGUUGUAAACUGCUUUUGUACGGAACGAAAAGGUUUGGCCUAAUAAGCUGAGCUCAUGACGGUACCGUAAGAAAAAGCACCGGCUAACUACGUGCCAGCAGCCGCAGUAA